Molecule: non-coding RNA, 26 nt
Filed under: Rattus norvegicus (Norway rat)
Lineage: Eukaryota; Metazoa; Chordata; Mammalia; Rodentia; Muridae
Source: RNAcentral
UGAAAUCAGAGUUUGGGAAUGACAUC